GUUGCAGGCACGGGGCUUUUUGAGGUGUGUGUUUGUGACAAGGCCUUGUGGGAAGCAGGUCUGGGCAGUGGGGACAGUGGAGUGCAAUCUGAUUGCAUCAGCAUGCAGACCAGGAGCCCCGAGGACAGUAUGUCCCUUUGCGAAAGUUAGGCCAAGGGGCUGGGUGUUGCAUCCUGACAGGCUUCUGGGAGAAAGGGUGUAACCUCAGGUGAUGAGGCACCCUGUGACCAAGGCAGAGGGACGCAUCAGGAAGCAAGGCUGGAUUUUCCAUCUGCAUCUGCCCUGGAAGCACAGGAAAAUGGAGCGAGUUCUCUAUUGGUCCACGCAACGGCAAGUCAAACCCAUUUUACUCCUGCCACCUAGUGGCCAGAGGCCAACAAUACACCAAUUUAAAUGGACAGACCAGAGCUCAGGUGGGCAGGGAAACCAAAUUGUGCUCUGCGGGUUCCCACCCAGAAAGUUCAGGGACUUGCCUUCAUCUGCAAGUCUCUGAUGAGCUUGAGGUUGGCUCGAACACUUACUCAAGGGCUGGUCCUAGCUGGUCACCAGAAUGACUGUGAGUGUUUUAAAAAUCCAGACGCUGAGCCGGUCUCAGCCUCCUGACUCAGAUCCCUGCACAGGGACCUAAGCAUCUAUAUUAGAGACCUGGACCCAUUGAGACCCCCAUGCUGAAUGUAGACUUUUCCAGAACACGAACCACAUGGCUCUCGAUUCCUCUGUGGAUCAGUUCCUGACAUGUGCCUGGCACUGAAAACUAAGCCUUGAUGGAAGGAUGAGUGAAUUCAGGACAUCAUGAAUGGAUGAGUGAACACGGUAAAGAUCUUUAUAAAACAGAUUUUUCAAUGGAGAUGGAAUUCACAUAACAUAAAAUUCACCAUUGGAAGGUCCACUGUUCAAUUGAGUGCAGUGGUGCACACCUGUAAUCCCAGUGGAUGGAGAGGCUGAGGCAGGAGGAUCACAAGUUCGAGACCAGCCUAAACAAUUUAGGAAGGCCCUAAACAACUUACCAAGACUCUGUCUCAAAAUAAAAAAAUAAAAUAAAAAGGGCUGGACAUGUGG
This 1059-nucleotide long non-coding RNA is filed under the name Ictidomys tridecemlineatus (thirteen-lined ground squirrel). RNAcentral's name for it is "lncRNA (ENSSTOG00000030268.1)". Lineage: Eukaryota; Metazoa; Chordata; Mammalia; Rodentia; Sciuridae. The record is from RNAcentral.